RNAcentral lists this long non-coding RNA (1190 nucleotides) under Salvator merianae (Argentine black and white tegu). RNAcentral describes it as "lncRNA (ENSSMRG00000009868.1)". Lineage: Eukaryota; Metazoa; Chordata; Lepidosauria; Squamata; Teiidae. The record is from RNAcentral.
CCGGCCCGCGCGCUGCUUUCCAAUACCGCUGGUCAUUGGUUUAGAGGCUCAGAAAGCGAAGCGCGCUCUAGCAAUAGGGAGUAAUUUGAUCCUCGGCAGUUACCAUCUUACACGCUAGUUUCGUUCUUUCAAAUACUUUAAUUCACGUCGGGACCGGAUGGGAGUUGUAGUUUUUGCCGGUUGGAAUUGGGAAGUUCCGGCCAAAUUCUCGAGGCGGUUGAGCAAUCUUCUCCACGCGGGCGGGGCAGGGGGUUGACACAGUUUAGAUUAUAGGUUUGUUGUUGCCUCAGGAGUUCGUUUCUAUUUUAAUUUUCUUUAAUCCUACAUCAAAAUACGUCAUGGGAACUAACACAAAACACAGACACCAAAUAAAGCCUGUAAAGACACAGAAAAAGAUUAUGAAAUCCAAAGUGGAUGAAGAGAGAUGCAGAAAGAGUUUAAAGAAAUGAAAUAUUUCCAUUUGUUUUGUUUAUUCUUUUUUUAUUGAUUUUCUGUGAGCUGCUGUGGGAGAUUUCUAGGCUACAGAGCAAGAUAAAAAAAACUUUAAAAAAUUAAAAAUAUGAUUUAUUGCUGGUUUGCAUCUUUUUUAUAUUCUUCAGUUUUUACUCCAUCUAUUAAUUCAAUGGCUUCCAAAACAAGAUGUUGAUUCUGCUAAAGUCUAUUCUGUCUCUCUCUUUCUCACAAUCACACGUAAACACAAACACACACACAUAGGGGAGAGAGAGAAGAUAGUUGGUCUUUCUGCAUUUACCACUAAACCAGUAUAGGAAAGGGUCCAGGAGCCUUCCUUGUGUAUCUUGGUAUUAUCCAAGGGAAGCUCUACCCCCUGUUAGUAUGCUCCAUCCAAUGUGAACUAGGUGGUCCAAAAUGGUUGCUUAGUCUAGGAUACCAGUAGACCUUUUUAAAAAGGUAUACUGACAGACUAAUGGUCGCUAACCCAGACCACAGAGACAUGUGGAUGCAGCAGCCACCAUAGUCCAGUUUUCCACAGGGGACUCAGUUUGACUAUGUGCCUUGCUGUGCCAUCUAAAUAGGUCCUCUGAGGGCUCCAAGACCAGUUCUUGGCCAUCGGAGCUGAUACGGGGGUUGUCCCAGAACAACCAUUCAAAUGUGAACAAACUUGUUCCAAGACAGGUGGACCACUUCAGAUGAGAGACCAUUCCAGCUGAUCCAAUCCCACUGAAGCAGUC